GACGAACGCUGGCGGCGUGCUUAACACAUGCAAGUCGAACGGAAAGGCCCUGCUUUUGUGGGGUGCUCGAGUGGCGAACGGGUGAGUAACACGUGAGUAACCUGCCCUUGACUUUGGGAUAACUUCAGGAAACUGGUGCUAAUACCUGAUAGGAGCUCCUGCUGCAUGGUGGGGUUUGGAAAGUUUCGGCGGUGGGGGAUGGACUGGCGGCUUAUCAGCUUGUUGGUUGGGGACUGGCUUACCAAGGCUUUGAUGGGUAGCCGGCACGAGAGGGGGGCCGGCCACAUUGGGCCUGAGGGAGGGCGCAGUGUCCAACGGGGGACAGCGGGGGGAAGUCUUGCCCAAUGGGGGGGAGCCUGAUAAGGAAGCCCCCGGAGCGGAAAGCAGGCCUAGGGGUUGUAAACGGCAUUCACCUGUGACCAAGCUGGAGUGACGGUAACGGCAAAAGAAGCACCGGCUAACUACGUG
RNAcentral lists this ribosomal RNA (468 nucleotides) under uncultured bacterium. RNAcentral describes it as "partial 16S ribosomal RNA". It matches the Rfam family "Bacterial small subunit ribosomal RNA", at positions 28 to 507 of the family's 1533-position model. The record is from RNAcentral.